This 115-nucleotide small nuclear RNA is filed under the name Medicago truncatula (barrel medic). RNAcentral's name for it is "sRNA gene45064". It matches the Rfam family "U5 spliceosomal RNA". Rfam says of the family: U5 RNA is a component of both types of known spliceosome. The precise function of this molecule is unknown, though it is known that the 5' loop is required for splice site selection and p220 binding, and that both the 3' stem-loop and the Sm site are important for Sm protein binding and cap methylation. Lineage: Eukaryota; Viridiplantae; Streptophyta; Magnoliopsida; Fabales; Fabaceae. The record is from RNAcentral.
AGCCGUGUGAUGAGCUCAAAGCAAACUAUUCUUUCGCCUUUGACUAAAGAAUACUGUGGGCUCGUCACUAUUAACGGCAUAUGCCAAUUUUUGGAAGAGUCUUCUAUAGAGGACU